CGACGCUUGCGACCGGAGUCAGAGCCCCCGUCGACGCCGGCACCUGCCCCAGACAAGUAACGCUUCAGAUACUCGGCCUUGGAGAGCGGCGGAGCUGCCGCCAUGGCAGCGGUGAGGGCGGGGAGACGGCUCGGCGCUGGGGACAAAAUUCUUGAACGCGAAACGCACGGCGGGGACCCGGAGGGGCGGGGCCGGGACCGGAAGUGGCGAAGACUGGUGGAACUGCCCCGGGCUGACAGGAGCGCGCUUUUGCAGGCUCACGAGGAGUGCGCAUGAGGAAACCGAAGCUUGGAGAGGUUAAGGAAGUUGCCCAACUUCACACAGCCAAAACGGGACCCUUGGAAGCAGAAGGUAGCAAAGUGAAGUUCAAAAGCUCUCAGAACACCAGCAGCCAAGUCCUCCUCCUCAGGCCAGGAAACAGAACACCCGCUGAUGGGAAUCUGAGCAGCCCAAGAGGAAAAACCUAAGGACUCUGGCACUGGGGUUACCUCCACAAAAUGGCUAAGCUAAAUCCCCCUACAAUGAGCCCGACGUGAAUUAAGAUUCAACUCCACGACUAUCAGACAUGUGAGCAAAGCCCCAACCUUGAAAGA
Callorhinus ursinus (northern fur seal) is the source of this 593-nucleotide non-coding RNA. Lineage: Eukaryota; Metazoa; Chordata; Mammalia; Carnivora; Otariidae. The record is from RefSeq and is a predicted model, not a curated record.